Molecule: ribosomal RNA, 542 nt
Filed under: Bifidobacterium dentium
Lineage: Bacteria; Bacillati; Actinomycetota; Actinomycetes; Bifidobacteriales; Bifidobacteriaceae
Description: bacterial SSU rRNA
Rfam family: Bacterial small subunit ribosomal RNA
Source: RNAcentral
GGGUGGUAAUGCCGGAUGCUCCGGUUGGAUGCAUGUCCUUCCGGGAAAGAUCCGUCGGUAUGGGAUGGGGUCGCGUCCUAUCAGCUUGAUGGCGGGGUAACGGCCCACCAUGGCUUCGACGGGUAGCCGGCCUGAGAGGGCGACCGGCCACAUUGGGACUGAGAUACGGCCCAGACUCCUACGGGAGGCAGCAGUGGGGAAUAUUGCACAAUGGGCGCAAGCCUGAUGCAGCGACGCCGCGUGCGGGAUGGAGGCCUUCGGGUUGUAAACCGCUUUUGAUCGGGAGCAAGCCCUUCGGGGUGAGUGUACCUUUCGAAUAAGCACCGGCUAACUACGUGCCAGCAGCCGCGGUAAUACGUAGGGUGCAAGCGUUAUCCGGAAUUAUUGGGCGUAAAGGGCUCGUAGGCGGUUCGUCGCGUCCGGUGUGAAAGCCCAUCGCUUAACGGUGGGUCUGCGCCGGGUACGGGCGGGCUGGAGUGCGGUAGGGGAGACUGGAAUUCCCGGUGUAACGGUGGAAUGUGUAGAUAUCGGGAAGAACACCA